GUUAGACGAAGCAGCUGAAAACUGCACCAGAGAAGGUGAAAGUCCUGUAGUCGAAAACGGACUCGUCCUAGCUGACUCCCGAGUAGCACGGGACACGUGGAAUCCCGUGUGAAUCAGCGAGGACCAUCUCGUAAGGCUAAAUACUACUGCGUGACCGAUAGUGGAACAGUACCGUGAGGG
This 180-nucleotide ribosomal RNA is filed under the name uncultured organism. RNAcentral's name for it is "23S ribosomal RNA". It matches the Rfam family "Bacterial large subunit ribosomal RNA", at positions 328 to 509 of the family's 2925-position model. The record is from RNAcentral.